UUUCCGUAGGUGAACCUGCGGAAGGAUCAUUAUCGUACAAAAUGUGAGGGGCAUGCGAGGGCUGUCGCUGACCCGAGAGUCGUGCACGCACGAGGGUGCCCUCUUGCAUAAUACUCCAACUAAACCUCUGUGCAUCCCCGCGUAGCCGCCCGCCGGGAUCAUCUCGGAAGGGGGCUCGCGAUUUCACACAAACCCCCCUUUUAUAAGUGUAGUAUGACCACAUUUCUGCAAUCAAUACAACUUUCAACAACGGAUCUCUUGGCUCUC
RNAcentral lists this unclassified non-coding RNA (267 nucleotides) under plant metagenome. RNAcentral describes it as "partial contains small subunit ribosomal RNA, internal transcribed spacer 1, and 5.8S ribosomal RNA". The record is from RNAcentral.